This 291-nucleotide ribosomal RNA is filed under the name uncultured prokaryote. RNAcentral's name for it is "partial 16S ribosomal RNA". It matches the Rfam family "Bacterial small subunit ribosomal RNA", at positions 506 to 796 of the family's 1533-position model. The record is from RNAcentral.
UGUCAGCAGCCGCGGUAAUACGAAGGGGGCUAGCGUUGUUCGGAUUUACUGGGCGUAAAGCGCACGUAGGCGGAUUGGUCAGUUAGGGGUGAAAUCCCAGGGCCCAACCCUGGAACUGCCUUUAAUACUGCCAGUCUUGAGUAUGGAAGAGGUAAGUGGAAUUGCGAGUGUAGAGGUGAAAUUCGUAGAUAUUCGCAGGAACACCAGUGGCGAAGGCGGCUUACUGGUCCAUUACUGACGCUGAGGUGCGAAAGCGUGGGGAGCAAACAGGAUUAGAAACCCUCGUAGUCC